This is a long non-coding RNA of Thalassophryne amazonica, 100 nucleotides long. RefSeq lists it as uncharacterized. The record is from RefSeq and is a predicted model, not a curated record. The transcript is spliced from 3 exons. NCBI's taxonomy places the organism in Eukaryota, Metazoa, Chordata, Actinopteri, Batrachoidiformes, Batrachoididae.
UUAAGAGCGUCUUGGAACACGCUGAUAUACAUCAUCAUACGGUAAGUAGCUCGAAAAAUUUUGGGCAUGCACAAUAUUUUUGACAUAUACCGGUGUAUGA